This 420-nucleotide ribosomal RNA is filed under the name uncultured bacterium. RNAcentral describes it as "partial 16S ribosomal RNA". It matches the Rfam family "Bacterial small subunit ribosomal RNA", at positions 355 to 765 of the family's 1533-position model. The record is from RNAcentral.
UGGGGAAUAUUGCACAAUGGGCGCAAGCCUGAUGCAGCCAUGCCGCGUGUGUGAAGAAGGCCUUCGGGUUGUAAAGCACUUUCAGCGAGGAGGAAGGGUAGUGUGUUAAUAGCACAUUGCAUUGACGUUACUCGCAGAAGAAGCACCGGCUAACUCCGUGCCAGCAGCCGCGGUAAUACGGAGGGUACAAGCAUUAAUUGGAAUUACUGGGCGUAAAGCGCACGCAGGCGGUUUGUUAAGUCAGAUGUGAAAUCCCCGCGCUUAACGUGGGAACUGCAUUUGAAACUGGCAAGCUAGAGUCUUGUAGAGGGGGGUAGAAUUCCAGGUGUAGCGGUGAAAUGCGUAGAGAUCUGGAGGAAUACCGGUGGCGAAGGCGGCCCCCUGGANAAAAGACUGACGCUCAGGUGCGAAACGCGUGGG